This 838-nucleotide ribosomal RNA is filed under the name Ralstonia pickettii. RNAcentral's name for it is "bacterial SSU rRNA". It matches the Rfam family "Bacterial small subunit ribosomal RNA", at positions 57 to 890 of the family's 1533-position model. Lineage: Bacteria; Pseudomonadati; Pseudomonadota; Betaproteobacteria; Burkholderiales; Burkholderiaceae. The record is from RNAcentral.
GCAGUCGAACGGCAGCAUGAUCUAGCUUGCUAGAUUGAUGGCGAGUGGCGAACGGGUGAGUAAUACAUCGGAACGUGCCCUGUAGUGGGGGAUAACUAGUCGAAAGAUUAGCUAAUACCGCAUACGACCUGAGGGUGAAAGUGGGGGACCGCAAGGCCUCAUGCUAUAGGAGCGGCCGAUGUCUGAUUAGCUAGUUGGUGGGGUAAAGGCCCACCAAGGCGACGAUCAGUAGCUGGUCUGAGAGGACGAUCAGCCACACUGGGACUGAGACACGGCCCAGACUCCUACGGGAGGCAGCAGUGGGGAAUUUUGGACAAUGGGCGAAAGCCUGAUCCAGCAAUGCCGCGUGUGUGAAGAAGGCCUUCGGGUUGUAAAGCACUUUUGUCCGGAAAGAAAUGGCUCUGGUUAAUACCUGGGGUCGAUGACGGUACCGGAAGAAUAAGGACCGGCUAACUACGUGCCAGCAGCCGCGGUAAUACGUAGGGUCCAAGCGUUAAUCGGAAUUACUGGGCGUAAAGCGUGCGCAGGCGGUUGUGCAAGACCGAUGUGAAAUCCCCGAGCUUAACUUGGGAAUUGCAUUGGUGACUGCACGGCUAGAGUGUGUCAGAGGGGGGUAGAAUUCCACGUGUAGCAGUGAAAUGCGUAGAGAUGUGGAGGAAUACCGAUGGCGAAGGCAGCCCCCUGGGAUAACACUGACGCUCAUGCACGAAAGCGUGGGGAGCAAACAGGAUUAGAUACCCUGGUAGUCCACGCCCUAAACGAUGUCAACUAGUUGUUGGGAUUCAUUUCUUAAUAACGUACCUAACGCGUGAAUUGACCGCCUGGGGAGUCGGUCGUA